CGGGACCGCACAAGCGGUGGAUGAUGUGGUAUUAAUUCGAUGCAACGCGAAAACCUUACCUACCCUUGACAUGUCCGGAAUCCCGAAGAGAUUUGGGAGUGCUCGCAAGAGAACCGGAACACAGGUGCUGCAUGGCUGUCGUCAGCUCGUGUCGUGAGAUGUUGGGUUAAGUCCCGCAACGAGCGCAACCCUUGUCAUUAGUUGCCAUCAUUUGGUUGGGCACUCUAAUGAGACUGCCGGUGACAAACCGGAGGAAGGUGGGGAUGACGUCAAGUCCUCAUGGCCCUUAUGGGUAGGGCUUCACACGUCAUACAAUGGUCGGUACAGAGGGUUGCCAACCCGCGAGGGGGAGCUAAUCCCACAAAGCCGAUCGUAGUCCGGAUCGCAGUCUGCAACUCGACUGCGUGAAGUCGGAAUCGCUAGUAAUCGUGGAUCAGCAUGUCACGGUGAAUACGUUCCCGGGUCUU
Molecule: ribosomal RNA, 467 nt
Filed under: uncultured Rhodocyclaceae bacterium
Lineage: Bacteria; Pseudomonadati; Pseudomonadota; Betaproteobacteria; Rhodocyclales; Rhodocyclaceae
Description: bacterial SSU rRNA
Rfam family: Bacterial small subunit ribosomal RNA
Source: RNAcentral